AACGAACGCUGGCGGCAUGCCUAACACAUGCAAGUCGAACGAGACCUUCGGGUCUAGUGGCGCACGGGUGCGUAACGCGUGGGAACCUGCCCUUAGGUUCGGAAUAACUCCCCUAAAGGGGUGCUAAUACCGGAUAAUGUCUUCGGACCAAAGAUUUAUCGCCUUUGGAUGGGCCCGCGUUGGAUUAGCUAGUUGGUAGGGUAAAAGCCUACCAAGGCGACGAUCCAUAGCUGGUCUGAGAGGAUGAUCAGCCACACUGGGACUGAGACACGGCCCAGACUCGUACGGGAAGGAGCAGUGGGGAAUAUUGGACGAUGGGGGAAAGCCUGAUCAAGCAGUGCGGCGUGAGUGAUGAAGGGCUUAGGGUUGUAAAGCUCUUUUACCCGGGAUGAUAGUGACAGUACCGGGAGAAUAAGCUCCGGCUAACUACGUG
Molecule: ribosomal RNA, 433 nt
Filed under: uncultured bacterium
Lineage: Bacteria
Description: partial 16S ribosomal RNA
Rfam family: Bacterial small subunit ribosomal RNA
Source: RNAcentral